UAGCUCAGUUGGUAGAGCAGUUGACUUUUAAUCAAUUGGUCGCAGGUUCGAAUCCUGCACGACCCACCAAUUUCAGUAUUUAACUCAGAUGCUGAACGUGAAGGAUAACGUUGCGUCAGCAACGGCCCGAAGGGCGAGGCGAAGUCGAGUCAUCCUGCACGACCUACCA
Molecule: small RNA, 169 nt
Filed under: Klebsiella pneumoniae
Lineage: Bacteria; Pseudomonadati; Pseudomonadota; Gammaproteobacteria; Enterobacterales; Enterobacteriaceae
Description: RtT sRNA
Rfam family: RtT RNA
About the family: This family represents a bacterial cis-regulatory element known as RtT RNA.
Source: RNAcentral